Molecule: ribosomal RNA, 230 nt
Filed under: Enterococcus faecium
Lineage: Bacteria; Bacillati; Bacillota; Bacilli; Lactobacillales; Enterococcaceae
Description: partial 23S ribosomal RNA
Rfam family: Bacterial large subunit ribosomal RNA
Source: RNAcentral
UAAGCCUGCGAAGGUGUGCUGUGAGGCAUGCUGGAGGUAUCAGAAGUGCGAAUGCUGACAUAAGUAACGAUAAAGCGGGUGAAAAGCCCGCUCGCCGGAAGACCAAGGGUUCCUGUUCAACGUUAAUCGGAGCAGGGUGAGUCGACCCCUAAGGCGAGGCUGAAAAGCGUAGUCGAUGGGAAACGGGUUAAUAUUCCCGUACUUGUGGUAACUGCGAAGGGGGGACGGAG